CAGUAGCCGCGGUAAUACGUAGGGUGCGAGCGUUAAUCGGAAUUACUGGGCGUAAAGCGUGCGCAGGCGGUUCGUUAAGACAGAUGUGAAAUCCCCGGGCUUAACCUGGGAACUGCAUUUGUGACUGGCGAGCUAGAGUAUGGCAGAGGGGGGUAGAAUUCCACGUGUAGCAGUGAAAUGCGUAGAGAUGUGGAGGAAUACCGAUGGCGAAGGCAGCCCCCUGGGCCAAUACUGACGCUCAUGCACGAAAGCGUGGGGAGCAAACAGGAUUAGAGACCCCCGUAGUCCCUGUCUCUUAUAC
Molecule: ribosomal RNA, 301 nt
Filed under: uncultured bacterium
Lineage: Bacteria
Description: partial 16S ribosomal RNA
Rfam family: Bacterial small subunit ribosomal RNA
Source: RNAcentral